UACGAAGGGGGCUAGCGUUGCUCGGAAUCACUGGGCGUAAAGGGUGCGUAGGUGGAUAUUUAAGUCAGGGGUGAAAUCCUGGAGCUCAACUCCAGAACUGCCUUUGAUACUGAGUAUCUUGAGUUCGGGAGAGGUGAGUGGAACUGCGAGUGUAGAGGUGAAAUUCGUAGAUAUUCGCAAGAACACCAGUGGCGAAGGCGGCUCACUGGCCCGAUACUGACACUGAGGCACGAAAGCGUGGGGAGCAAACAGG
This 253-nucleotide ribosomal RNA is filed under the name uncultured bacterium. RNAcentral's name for it is "partial 16S ribosomal RNA". It matches the Rfam family "Bacterial small subunit ribosomal RNA", at positions 524 to 776 of the family's 1533-position model. The record is from RNAcentral.